RNAcentral lists this ribosomal RNA (499 nucleotides) under uncultured Scutellospora. RNAcentral describes it as "SSU rRNA". It matches the Rfam family "Eukaryotic small subunit ribosomal RNA", at positions 591 to 1092 of the family's 1831-position model. The record is from RNAcentral. Lineage: Eukaryota; Fungi; Glomeromycota; Glomeromycetes; Diversisporales; Gigasporaceae.
CCAAUAGCGUAUAUUAAAGUUGUUGCAGUUAAAAAGCUCGUAGUUGAAUUUCGGGGUUCUACCGUCGGUCGGGCUAACAAGUCUGUACUGGUGUGUAGAACUUCUACCUUCUGGGGAACUAUCAUGUUAUUAAUUUAGCGUGGUAGGAAACCAGGACCUUUACCUUGAAAAAAUUAGAGUGUUCAAAGCAGGCUUAAAGUCUGAAUACAUUAGCAUGGAAUAAUAGAAUAGGACGGUGGUCCUGUUUUGUUGGUUUCUGAAUCACCGUAAUGAUUAAUAGGGAUAGUUGGGUGCAUUAGUAUUCAAUUGUCAGAGGUGAAAUUCUUGGAUUUAUUGAAGACUAACUUCUGCGAAAGCAUUUGCCAAGGAUGUUUUCAUUAAUCAAGAACGAAAGUUAGGGGAUCGAAGACGAUCAGAUACCGUCGUAGUCUUAACCAUAAACUAUGCCGACUAGGGAUCGGACGAUGUUAAAUUUUAUUGACUCGUUCGGCGCCUUACG